Brassica rapa (field mustard) is the source of this 2642-nucleotide long non-coding RNA. RefSeq lists it as uncharacterized. NCBI's taxonomy places the organism in Eukaryota, Viridiplantae, Streptophyta, Magnoliopsida, Brassicales, Brassicaceae. The record is from RefSeq and is a predicted model, not a curated record.
CAUAUAUACCAGGAAAAACCAAGUAUCAUUCCACGGUUACAUGAAAGUAAUAAACUAAACAUAAAGUUUAUGUCAAAAUAAAUGCUUACAAAUAUUUGACUUUUUCAGGAAAACUAUCACUCACAAACACACCUGGAUCGCGCUUCUACUUUGACAACGAUAUUGGUAUCAUACAACGCUUCCAAAAGAGGAAUAAACUGUUAUCCUAAGCCUCAUAGCAAACGACACCAGCCAACUUUUAAAAAAUUUACGUUACCGCUUCCUACGUCAAUUAAAUAGGUACACUCAAAUACUAUUUUCUCUUACGAAUAUUGAAUUCCUCAAAACAAUUUAUUUUUCAAACUUACUGUCGUUUUUUUUUAAAAAAAAUGAUCACUGCUUCCAACGUCUUCACAUUAUAAAAUAAACAAAACAUAACUUACCCUUUCAGAAACUUCAAAACUCCCAAUUUUAAUUGAACUGGACUUUUAUUAAACAUGUAAUCCGUGCGAAGCGCGGACACCGACCCUAGUUGUUAAUAAUGACAAUUAUAUUUUAAUUCAUUAAGGGUACCUAUGUAAUUAAUCAUCAUAAGAAUAAGAAUUAAUGUGGGCGCGACAAGUAAGAAACUGACUUCUCAAAUAAUAUUAUAGAUUUCUUUUAACAAAUUAUGUUUCAGAAAAUUUUAGAGAUUUUAUUUGAAUUGUCAUUUUUUAUUUUAUAUAUAUAUAUAUAUUUAUAUAUAUUAAGAUAUUUUGAUAUUUCUGAAUUAUUAUUCCGUCUUCUAAUUUUUAUUUUUAUUGUUCUUAUUGUUUUUAUUAAAUAAUAAAAAUUAGAAAAAAAAAUUGUUUUCAUGUUUAUAGGUAAAGAUUAACUUUUUUUACUUGAUGUACAGAAAAAAUCAGGUUGAAAUUUUUUUGUGAUACGAAAACCAACUUGAUGGUUUAAUAUGCUUGUUAAAUAACUUUGAGGUUUAAAGUAUAAGUUAAUGCCACCUUAAAUGUUUUUAUACGAUUUUCUCUAUUUUUUCUAUUUUCAGUUUAGAGAAAUACAAAAACCGAAACCAAGUAUUCUUUAAAUUUUUUUCUCAAAUAUUUAAUUAAAUUGAUAAAGACACUGUAUCCAGCUCAACCGGUUGGUGAGGUCGGACCGGCCAUCCUGAGCACUUUCGAAUAAACUUGUGGCCCCGAUUUCCGAAACAUCGACUGCAUUAUAUAACUUGAACGUAUAACUGAGACCAAUUUUCUCUUGAGGAAUACGUGACGUUUCUGAUCGACAUUAUUUAAUUAGUACGAAAAAGAAAAGAUAUAUAAAUCGGAUUUUCGUGUUCCACAUGGUGUUAAGGAUUUUGUGUCGUAUAAAGUAGACACAUGUACAUUUGGGACAAUGCAUACACAAAUUAUAAGACCAUACACAUUUUUUUUUGUCACAAAUUCAUUACUAAUACGAAAAGGUCCAAGUUUACCCAUGAAUGAGCUUAAACAGAAAUAGCUCUCAAAGAGGUUUUUGCCAACGCAUUGACUUCUCCGUUGAGAUCUUUGAGAUCACGAUGAAUAUGCGAAAAGGAGAUAUUGUCGAACGCAGAGGAGAUGUUAUGGAUAUCACACACGAUUCCAUGAAUUUCUUUCACCUGCGUGUCCUGAUUGAUUGCUCUGAUGAGCAUUAGGUUGUCGGAAGACAUCCUGAGAUGCUGGAUCUCUAGGGUCGCUGCCUUGAUGAUUGCGAGUCUCAUUGCUAAGGCUUCCGCUAUGAGCGGUGAUUCUAUGAAGCUUUGGGUGCUUGAGCCUUUGAUUGGAGGGUUGAAGACCGCUCCUGUGAAGAUCCAGGCCAGGCCCGCUUGCUUUGAUUGUUUGUUCUAAGCCGCAUCUGUUUUGCAUAUUGUCUCUGAUUUCGUGGUUGUCGCUGCGUCUCUCAUCCUUCUUGCGUGAGGGUUAGCAAGUUUUGUUUCAAAGACCAAGGAGUUACACGCUAACCAGAUUGACCAGCAAACCCAAGGGAGGAUGCUAUUAGAGACUCCAGUUGGAGGGAGACACCGUCUGUCUCUGAAGUAGACUAUGACUUUUUAAAAAUCAUCCUCAGUAGCUAGGACCACUACUCUAUUGAGGAGAAUCAUCUUCCACACCUUAACCGCAAAUGGACAAAUAAAGAAUAUGUGCAUCGACGUUUCCUUAUCUUGGCAUUUAGGGCAUCUUAUCUCAUUUUGGAUUCCUCUCUUUUGCAGGUUCUCACCCAAAGGAAGGACUCCUUGUAUUAUCGACCACAGAAAGACUUUCAUUUUUGGUGAGAACUCACCCCUCCAGACGUCUUUGGUGAGAACUCACCCCUCCAGACGUCUUUCAGCCAAUCAAACUCCGUGCUAGCUUGGGUGAUUGUCCUUGGUAGGCUCCCAACUGCUGAGCAGUAUCCGGAUUUGGUUGUGUAGAUGCCUGACUUGGUUGGUUGCCAAUUAUACACAUCUUGCGCUCCAGUUUGGCUCGGUCUGAGGCACUUGAUCUCAGACGCUAGGAGAGAUAAAAGCUCAUCGAUCCUUUGAGUGUUCCAUUCUAGGGUAUAUAAGCAAAUCUGAAACUCUUAAGUCUAGCGCCGAUUAUUGAUAGGUCCAAACGGUUUGACAUUUUUGUGUAAAGAAAUCCAUGAAUCUUUCCAUACUUUUGUGUCUUGUC